Molecule: ribosomal RNA, 468 nt
Filed under: uncultured bacterium
Lineage: Bacteria
Description: partial 16S ribosomal RNA
Rfam family: Bacterial small subunit ribosomal RNA
Source: RNAcentral
GACGAACGCUGGCGGCGUGCUUAACACAUGCAAGUCGAACGGAAAGGCCCUGCUUUUUUGGGGUGCUCGAGUGGCGAACGAGUGAGUAACACGUGCGUAACCUACCCUUGACUUUGGGAUAACUUCCGGAAACUGGGGCUAAUACCGGAUAGGAGCUCCUACUGCUUGGUGGGGGUUGGUAUGUUUCUGCGGUUGGGUAUUGACUGGGGGGUUAUCAGCUUUUUGGUGGAGUAGUGGCUUACCAAGGGUUUGCCAGGUAGCCGGCAUGUGAGGGUGACCGGCGACAUGGGGACUGAGAUACGGCCCAGACUCCUACGGGAGGCAGCAGUGGGGAAUAUGGCACAAUGGGCGGAAGCGUGAGGAAGAAAAGCCGCGUGCGGGAUGACGGCCUGUGGGUGGAAAACCGCUUUCGACUGAGAAGAAGCGUGAGUGACGGUAAUGGGUAAAGAAGCACCGGCUAACUACGUG